Molecule: ribosomal RNA, 699 nt
Filed under: Salmonella enterica subsp. enterica serovar Infantis
Lineage: Bacteria; Pseudomonadati; Pseudomonadota; Gammaproteobacteria; Enterobacterales; Enterobacteriaceae
Also listed under: 3 other names
Description: partial 23S ribosomal RNA
Rfam family: Bacterial large subunit ribosomal RNA
Source: RNAcentral
CCCGUGAUCCGGGUUGCGGACAGUGUCUGGUGGGUAGUUUGACUGGGGCGGUCUCCUCCUAAAGAGUAACGGAGGAGCACGAAGGUUGGCUAAUCCUGGUCGGACAUCAGGAGGUUAGUGCAAUGGCAUAAGCCAGCUUGACUGCGAGCGUGACGGCGCGAGCAGGUGCGAAAGCAGGUCAUAGUGAUCCGGUGGUUCUGAAUGGAAGGGCCAUCGCUCAACGGAUAAAAGGUACUCCGGGGAUAACAGGCUGAUACCGCCCAAGAGUUCAUAUCGACGGCGGUGUUUGGCACCUCGAUGUCGGCUCAUCACAUCCUGGGGCUGAAGUAGGUCCCAAGGGUAUGGCUGUUCGCCAUUUAAAGUGGUACGCGAGCUGGGUUUAGAACGUCGUGAGACAGUUCGGUCCCUAUCUGCCGUGGGCGCUGGAGAACUGAGGGGGGCUGCUCCUAGUACGAGAGGACCGGAGUGGACGCAUCACUGGUGUUCGGGUUGUCAUGCCAAUGGCACUGCCCGGUAGCUAAAUGCGGAAGAGAUAAGUGCUGAAAGCAUCUAAGCACGAAACUUGCCCCGAGAUGAGUUCUCCCUGAGACUUAGAGUCUCCUGAAGGAACGUUGAAGACGACGACGUUGAUAGGCCGGGUGUGUAAGCGCAGCGAUGCGUUGAGCUAACCGGUACUAAUGAACCGUGAGGCUUAACCUU